AUUGAACGCUGGCGGCAGGCCUAACACAUGCAAGUCGAGCGGAGCGGCGGACGGGUGAGUAAUGCCUAGGAAUCUGCCUGGUAGUGGGGGAUAACGUCCGGAAACGGGCGCUAAUAUCGCAUACUAUCAGAUGAGCCUAGGUCGGAUUAGCUAGUUGGUGGGGUAAAGGCCUACCAGGGCGACGAUCCGUAACUGGGCUGAGCGGAUGAUCAGUCACAGUGGAACUGGGACAGGGACCAGACCGCUACGGAAGGCAGCAGUGGGGAAUAUUGACCAAUGGGCGAAAUCCGUAUCCAGCCAUGCCGGGUGUGUGACGAAGGUCUUCGGAUUGUAAAGGCCGUUAAGUUGGGAGGCGUUACCAACAGAAUAAGCACCGGCUAACUUCGUGCCAGCAGCCGCGGUAAUAC
RNAcentral lists this ribosomal RNA (407 nucleotides) under uncultured bacterium. RNAcentral's name for it is "partial 16S ribosomal RNA". It matches the Rfam family "Bacterial small subunit ribosomal RNA", at positions 30 to 526 of the family's 1533-position model. The record is from RNAcentral.